Molecule: ribosomal RNA, 114 nt
Filed under: Danio rerio (zebrafish)
Lineage: Eukaryota; Metazoa; Chordata; Actinopteri; Cypriniformes; Danionidae
Source: RNAcentral
AGCCACAACCAUAUCACCCUGCAGCCGAAGACUGAUUUCUUGAAGCUAAGCAGGGCUGAGGCUGGUAAGUAGCUGGAUGGGAGACCACAUGGGAAAACUAGGUUGCUGUUGGAA